AGUGAACGCUGGCGGUAGGCCUAACACAUGCAAGUCGAACGGCAGCACAGUAAGAGCUUGCUCUUACGGGUGGCGAGUGGCGGACGGGUGAGGAAUACAUCGGAAUCUACUUUUUCGUGGGGGAUAACGUAGGGAAACUUACGCUAAUACCGCAUACGACCUACGGGUGAAAGCAGGGGAUCUUCGGACCUUGCGCGAUUGAAUGAGCCGAUGUCGGAUUAGCUAGUUGGCGGGGUAAAGGCCCACCAAGGCGACGAUCCGUAGCUGGUCUGAGAGGAUGAUCAGCCACACUGGAACUGAGACACGGUCCAGACUCCUACGGGAGGCAGCAGGGGGGAAUAUUGGACAAUGGGCGCAAGCCUGAUCCAGCCAUACCGCGUGGGUGAAGAAGGCCUGCGGGUUGUAAAGCCCUUUUGUUGGGAAAGAAAAGCAGCAGGUUAAUACCCCGCUGUUCGGACGGUACCCAAAGAAUAAGCACCGGCUAACUUCGU
This 491-nucleotide ribosomal RNA is filed under the name uncultured bacterium. RNAcentral's name for it is "partial 16S ribosomal RNA". It matches the Rfam family "Bacterial small subunit ribosomal RNA", at positions 29 to 506 of the family's 1533-position model. The record is from RNAcentral.